GAUGAAGAACGUAGCGAAAUGCGAUAAGUAAUGCGAAUUGCAGAAUUCCGUGAGUCAUCGAAUCUUUGAACGCACAUUGCGCCCUUUGGUAUUCCUUAGGGCAUGCCUGUUCGAGCGUCAUUUGAAACCUCAAGCUCAGCUUGGUGUUGGGUGUCUGUCCCCGCCUCCGCGGGGACUCGCCUCAAAAUCAUUGGCGGCCGGUACGUUGGCUUCGAGCGCAGCAGAAACGCGAACUCGAGGCCCGGCGGAUCGGCGACCAGAAGUCUCUUCUUCACAGUUUGACCUCGGAUCAGGUAGGGAUACCCGCUGAACUUAAGCAUAUCAAUAAGCGGAGGA
Molecule: unclassified non-coding RNA, 336 nt
Filed under: soil metagenome
Description: partial contains 5.8S ribosomal RNA, internal transcribed spacer 2, and large subunit ribosomal RNA
Rfam family: 5.8S ribosomal RNA (bases 1-120)
Source: RNAcentral